RNAcentral lists this ribosomal RNA (451 nucleotides) under uncultured bacterium. RNAcentral describes it as "partial 16S ribosomal RNA". It matches the Rfam family "Bacterial small subunit ribosomal RNA", at positions 28 to 523 of the family's 1533-position model. The record is from RNAcentral.
GAUGAACGCUGGCGGCGUGCCUAAUACAUGCAAGUCGAACGAAGCCUUCGGGCUUAGUGGCGGACGGGUGAGUAACACGUUGGUACCUGCCUCGAAGUGGGGGAUAACUGGCCGAAAGGUCGGCUAAUACCGCAUGUGAUCGCAAGAUCAAAGUCGUAAGACGCUUCGAGAGGGGCCUGCGUCCCAUUAGCUAGUUGGUAGGGUAAUGGCCUACCAAGGCGACGAUGGGUAGCUGGAUCGAGAGGUUGACCAGCCACACUGGGACUGAGAUACGGCCCAGACUCCUACGGGAGGCAGCAGUAAGGAAUCUUCCACAAUGGACGAAAGUCUGAUGGAGCAACGCCGCGUGCAGGAUGACGGCCUUCGGGUUGUAAACUGCUUUUAUAUGGGAAGAUUAUGACGGUACCAUAUGAAUAAGGACCGGCUAACUACGUGCCAGCAGCCGCAGUAA